Molecule: long non-coding RNA, 993 nt
Organism: Pan troglodytes (chimpanzee)
Lineage: Eukaryota; Metazoa; Chordata; Mammalia; Primates; Hominidae
Exons: 5
Source: RefSeq, a predicted model, not a curated record
ACAGAACUAGAUGUCCAGAAACCUGGGUCUUAAUUCCAUCCUGAGCACUAUCUCCUCGUACAACCUUGAGCAAGUCCUUUGCCCUUCGGUUUAUAAAAUGAGGUGGGUGGAUCAGGAGUUCUCAAACUGUGCUCCAUGCUACCCUGGGGUUCUAGAAAUUCUGGAGCUCAAGGGCAUCAGUGGGUCAAGAGGACAGAAUGUCAUCAAAUUGGAAUCAUACAGAUUUCAGAUUGGCUUCUUUCACUAAGCAAUAUGCAUGUUACAACACUCUCUUGACAUAGGAGGAGAGAACUUCUUCCUAUCAUCUGCCUAAUGGUCAAACCAGGACCCUGAACAUGAUCCUGAGUCCUCACUCUCUCUCAAAGUCCACAUUCAAUCACCAACUCCUACCAAUUCCCCUGCGGAAGCACAUCUUUAAUUUUCCCACUUUCCACUUCACCCCUGCCACCUGGUUCUGCCUGCAACUGCUGCAAAAGCCAUAUGAUGGAUUUCCCUGCCUCCUGUUUCUCUCCUCUAAUGGAAUCCCCAGACAACAGCCAGAUUGUUUGGAUCCUUAAGCCUGCCUUGAAAGAAGAGGGAGAAGGCUUCAGGGGAAAUGCUCCCCGCGCUGACCCACAGGAUGGCUUCCUUCAACAAAUGCAGCCACCUUUGAUUGGCUGCCUGCUACAAGAGAAACAUCAGGAGGUACGUAUUGCCAUGGGGGGAACUGAAGAUGGAGGACCCCUCAUUUGUGGAAUUGGGAACGGGCUUUGGGUCACAUAAGGCUCAUCCCUGAUGAGCUAGAACGUGGAAGUUACCUGAAUCCAGAAACCGACGUUAGGCUCUGUAAUGGACAUGCAGAGGAAGAAGGACCUGUUGCCACGUCUACAGAGGGGUCAGGAAAGACACACUUGGAAUGACCCUAAGAAACCAUGGGCAAGUCUCCAUUUUCUUCCCUCAGCCAAACCUGUAUGCACUGGUACAGCCAUACCAAUUAUUAAAAUACUGAAAAAC